Long non-coding RNA from Gigantopelta aegis, 3347 nucleotides. RefSeq lists it as uncharacterized. The transcript has 2 exons. The record is from RefSeq and is a predicted model, not a curated record. NCBI's taxonomy places the organism in Eukaryota, Metazoa, Mollusca, Gastropoda, Neomphalida, Peltospiridae.
GGGGGGGUUACAUGGGCAUGAUGCUGUCCUGUGACCCAGACUCCCGUUUUGUCCUUUUUAAUUAUUAUUUGGUUUACACAAUAUACAACACUGAAAUAGCCCGGAAAACAUGUCUCUCUGCAUUUUUAUUUCAAUAUAUAUUUUAUGGGGUGCAUAACUUGACCCCCCCCCCCCCCCAUGAACUUCACUUGCCAGUCUACCCUCACACUGUAUAAAUUCCUGUACACAUGCCCAUAUUCAAUGCUCUACAUUUGUAAAAUGUAAUAAUUUUACCAACCUUUUUCCAGCGACAAUGAGCAGUUUGGUUACUGUGAUACCCCCACCAUUCAGACUGUUUUGUAUGCAGCUGAUGUGAGUGGAUAAUACGAACUGGUAAAAAUAUUUUUUUUUUAUCAUGUUUGGGGGACUGGAAGCCACAUUGUUGGUACAUGUUUUUCCUGUUGGCCGUAAAUGUGUAUUACAUCCAAUGAUCCAUCCAUCCAUCCAUCCAUCUACACACACACACACACGAGAUAUAAUGAUACUUGGGUCACAAUACAAUACGCAUCACAAUACUUAACUUUUCACAUCAAUCAUCGAUAAUUAAACUGUUUAUUUGAAGUUUAUGAAACAUAAUAACCUUAAUUAAAAUUUAAAACAUGACACAUACUGCAUUACAGGAUAGUUUUAUUGGCACCAGACAAUGAAAUUGAAAUGUUUCGAAAUACAAAGUGGAAGUCUUCAAAAAAAGAAGAAAAAAAAGUAACAUGCUUGUUCAAUGCAGUUCAAUGGAAUUUCAGGUUUUUCUUGAGAAAAUUCAACUUGUUAACAUGUUUAGGUUUCAGAUGGUACAGACGUACAGGGAACACACACACCUUUUUGUUUAAUAAAUUUUGUAAACAAAAAAUAAACCUAUGGUGUACGUGAUGAUAUAAAUAUCGAAGACAGUCUGACUAUUAAUAGACACAUCAAAUGCUGGGAAAUGCAGCAAAUGAACAUCAUAAUUACUUUUUCAUUGCUCUACUGUAUAUGUUCGUAUGUUUGUAAAUAUCUGCUUCAACCUUUUCACCAAAAAGUAUUAAAACAUGAACGUAUCAUAUUGUAUCAUGAUACUCCUGUCCUGAAUCGAUGUACCUUAUUGUGGCCAUUAUCGCGAUUUGAUAUUGUAGCACUAUAUUGUUACAGCUGUAACACACGCACGUACAUCAGGGAACAUUUUGUUUUCAAAAUGUUGAUUAGCAAUAUUUCUAGUCAACUAAACAUUUAUUAGCAAUUAUUAUUUAAUUUUUGAAAAUUGUGUAGCGAUCCCUGAAACUAUUACAGUGAAUCGCGAUGCGAUACUGAACAGAAUGUUGCCUGUACACACACACACACACCCACACCCACACACGUGUGCACUUGCAAUAAUAAAAUCAGGCAGGUAAUCAUAUUACCAACAUUUUCCAGCGACAAUGAGCAGUAUCUUUACUGUGAUACCCCCACCUUUCAGACUGUUUUGUAUGCAGCUGAUGUGAGUGGAUAAUACAAACUGGUGAAAAUAACCAUUUUUAUCAUGUUUGGGGGACUGGAAGCAUACAUUGUUUCUUUUAUUACUCUGUAUUCCAGUAUUGUCCCCAUCCCAUACUUGCUGUGAUAAUACAUGUAAUGAUUUUGUAUUAAAGUGACAUCACUACACAGGUAUGAUAGGUCUUUCAAUACUUUUAUACAGGUACAUACAAAUGAAUUGCAAGAAAUUAUGUAUUAACUUUUGUUAUCUAAACAUUACAGUGAAAGCCAUUCUCAAACACGUACCACUGAUCAGAUUAGGAAGAAAUUCCAGAAUUUGAAACAAAGAGCCAAGGAAAAAAAUGACUUAUUGAAAAGACCGAAGACUGGUGGUGGGUCCCCAUUGCCACCACUGACAAAAAUAAAUUGCCUAUUUUUGGAUUUUUUGGGGAGAAGGAGGGAAUAUCUGGAGUCAAUGGAGGGAUUGACAGCACUGGUAAGUGAAAUGAAUGAAAUCACUGAAGAAGUAUGUACAAAGAACCCAUAUCAUUACCACGGUUCUGCCUAAUAAGACAGUACUUUUCUUUUCCUUUCAAAAUAGUAGGCAACAAUAUCAGUAGCAACAGUGGUGGUCAGAACUUUAUAAAACCUGUGAGGUAAGACCACUGUGGGCACUGGACAUAACCUUACAUUACAUGUGUUUCUAGCACAUUGUGGAUAUCAACAUACAUAAUAAAAUAAAAUGUCUUUAUUCAAUUUCAUGUAAAUUAUACACAUUUAUAUUCGGAAUGUAAAAUGUAUAUUAAAAAUAUCCCUACUUAAACCUGUUUGGGGAAGUUAUAAUUUCACAUCAUGUUGUCACAUCAAAGAAAAAAAAAAUCAUACAUGUUAUAAUAAUUGUCAUUUUGAAACCAAUACUGCAGUCAUUUACCAUAAUUAUGUACGGUGCAUUUGUGUUUGCAAAAGGUGUCAUCGAGCAAGAGCAAGAAGACUCGUGUCGGUCUCUAGAAUUGGAACAUGGUAAUGCACAAUUUUUCAGUAAAGAUACAUGUAUGUGUAGCAGUUACAAAAACGUUUCCCAACAAAGACUUAAACAUUUUACAGAUUUCUCAACGAUUCAUGACUUCAGAAAUUAUUAAUUCAUUGAAAUGACAAUAAAAUACUACCUGUAAUCACGGAUAAUCAUUGUUUGUGCACAUUGUUGUUAUUUAUUUCACUUAAAGUGAAUAUAUAUGUGUUAUGGACUUUGCCGAUUUCCACAGUUUGUGUAAGCUUUUUGUUAUUCAUACCCUGAUGAACCAAACUGAAAUCAAUGUUUAUUUGUUGUCUUUUAAAAAUCUUUUCAGAUUUGGAUGUCACUGGAAAUGAAGUGCAGCCUAUACAUGUAGAGGAUGAUGGUAUCCAUUUUGUAUUAUUCCUAACAAUUAAAUAACUUAUUAAAGUAAAUAAAUGCCAAGAUAUCAUGACUAAAUAAAUUUCUGUAUUUCCAAAUGCAUGUGUGGUACCUCAUUUCUUGAAUAUACUUGUUAUACCUUGUUUACACUGUUUAUUAGUCAUAUUAAACUUUACUUGUACAAUGGCAUGGGGUCUAAUGCAAAUCAGCAAUAACAUUACUGGUGAUUACGUACAAACAGGCAAAUAACCAAAAUGUCUUGUAGACAUUUUUUUGAAUUUUCAAACAUGUUUUUCUUUUUAUGUAUAAAAAACCAUAAUAUACAAAACUUUAUACUUAUAUAAUUAUUCAUACAACUUAUAGCACAAAUACAUUUUUCAUUUCAGAAGCUGAUGUACAAAAGACUGUACCUGCGAAGAACUUGAAACAUUCAAAUAUGAAAACAGGUAGUAAAGAGCUGCUACAACUGGAUAUGGAUGUCUGCAAUUUA